Molecule: ribosomal RNA, 469 nt
Filed under: uncultured bacterium
Lineage: Bacteria
Description: bacterial SSU rRNA
Rfam family: Bacterial small subunit ribosomal RNA
Source: RNAcentral
CUAACACAUGCAAGUCGAACGGUGGCAGCAAUGUCAUAGUGGCUCACGGGUGCGUAGCACGUAACUAACCUGCCCAAGACUGGGGGAUAGCCCGCCGAAAGGCGGAUUAAUACCGCAUAAUAUCUUUUACUGGCAUCAGUGAUUGAUUAAACCUGAGGGGGUCUUGGAUGGGGUUGCGGGUCAUUAGCUAGUUGGUACGGUAACGGCGUACCAAGGCGACGAUGACUAAGGGAGCUGAGAGGCUGGUCCCCCACACGGGCACUGAGAUACGGGCCCGACUCCUACGGGAGGCAACAGUAGGGAAUAUUGGGCAAUGGGCGAGAGCCUGACCCAUCCAUGCCGCGUGCAGGAAGAAGGCUUUCUGAUUCGUAAACUGCUUUUGACAGGGAAGAAUAAGGUGUACGUGUACACUGAUGACGGUACCUACAGAAUAAGCACCGGCUAACUCCGUGCCAGCAGCCGCGGUAAU